GACAGAGGGUGCAAACGUUGUUCGGAAUUACUGGGCGUAAAGCGCGUGUAGGCGGCCAUCUAAGUCGGGCGUGAAAUCCCACGGCUCAACCGUGGAAGUGCACUCGAAACUGGAUGGCUAGAGUCCUGGAGAGGAAGGUGGAAUGCUUGGUGUAGAGGUGAAAUUCGUAGAUAUCGGGAGGAACACCAGUGGCGAAGGCGGCGAUCUGGGCUGAUACUGACGCUGAGGUGCGAAAGCGUGGGGAGCAAACAGG
Molecule: ribosomal RNA, 253 nt
Filed under: uncultured bacterium
Lineage: Bacteria
Description: partial 16S ribosomal RNA
Rfam family: Bacterial small subunit ribosomal RNA
Source: RNAcentral